AUUUUGACUCUGUAUAGACCUUAAUAUUCUUUAAAUGUGAUAACAUGUCCAAAUUGGAUGUCUGACCUUUUCUUUCCUUUCUGAAAGGGAGUUUGUUGAGUGCUCCCUGUGUAGCUGUAACAUCGACUUCAUCUGCCAGGACAGAUACAAACCAGUUAUUUGGUCCAACCGGUCUCAUUUAGAUCUCUGGUUCGAACCUGCUAGAUGUCAGUGUGUAGCUGUUCAGCUCUAAGGCUAUCCCUAACUACUGAGAGGUUGCCUGUGGUUUUGUAGCCCUUAAAAAUGUUAUAACUGCUUAAUCUGAGUAGAAAAUAUUUUGGCAGGACUUUGAGCUCUUGAUUUUGCUGUUCUGGGCUGAGUGCCAAUGGGAUAACAUGAGUUUGGUUUGAGUGCUCUCAGUAGCAUUGGAGGCGCAAGUGAGAGCGUAGAUUCCGUGCCUGUCUCCUGAAGUUUAUCAGCUGGAUGUGUGGAAUGUCAGCCCUGUGCCCCCAGCUGCAGAAGAGUUGCAAGCCUGAUCUUGUGAGUGGAAGAGUCAAAACCUUUGUUUAAUCUAUUGAGUUCUUAAGACACCAUGAGGAAACCAUUC
This is a long non-coding RNA of Strigops habroptila (Kakapo), 586 nucleotides long. RefSeq lists it as uncharacterized. NCBI's taxonomy places the organism in Eukaryota, Metazoa, Chordata, Aves, Psittaciformes, Psittacidae. The transcript has 2 exons. The record is from RefSeq and is a predicted model, not a curated record.